UGGUGUCUAUAGGGAGGAGAAAC
This 23-nucleotide non-coding RNA is filed under the name Mus musculus (house mouse). Lineage: Eukaryota; Metazoa; Chordata; Mammalia; Rodentia; Muridae. The record is from RNAcentral.